GGUACUGUUUCUGAGAGAAGGGAGCUUUGCUGUCAUCUGAGAUUGUCCUGAAAGCAUUUUUCAGAUUGUGCAGAUCUCUUUGCAAGAAUUUUCUGAGCACAUUUUAGACACACCAAGUCAGCUCGAUUAAGUGCUGUGCAAGCACGAUAGUGUUGAACAGGAAAAACAGAUACCACCUUUCUUGCUUUUAAUUAGCCAAACAUACCUCUCUGCUGCAAGAUACUCAUUACUCUUUGUCUUUGUGUACACGAAUGGGGCAAUAACAUACUGUAGACAAGCCUCUAGGAAGGAUGGCAUCAGGAUUGUAGUGCCUUCCAAACAAGCAAGUGAUAUUCACUUGUGGAUUCCUGUCGAUAAGUUGUUGCCUUCUGAUAAUCCGCUUUACUAAAAGCCAGAUCAGCAAUGUCAUCGGCUGGUUCAGCUGAGCUACACACGGUCCGUAUGCACUCUAAUACCUUUGAUCUUCCUAGAAGAUAUAUUAUGUGUCACGGAUCUUGAAUUGCGUGUGACAUU
Molecule: long non-coding RNA, 513 nt
Filed under: Coccomyxa subellipsoidea
Lineage: Eukaryota; Viridiplantae; Chlorophyta; Trebouxiophyceae; Coccomyxaceae
Description: long non-coding RNA (CSUB_LNC000166)
Source: RNAcentral